GAUCCUGGCUCAGGAUGAACGCUAGCUACAGGCUUAACACAUGCAAGUCGCGGGGCAGCAUGAAGGAUGCUUGCAUUCUUGAUGGCGACCGGCGCACGGGUGAGUAACGCGUAUCCAACCUGGCCCCUUUCCCCGGCACAGCCCGUAGAAAUGCGGAUUAAUGCCGGAUGCGGUCGUGUGACGGCAUCAGAGCACGACGAAAGGAGCGAUCGGAGGGAUGGG
This 222-nucleotide ribosomal RNA is filed under the name uncultured bacterium. RNAcentral's name for it is "partial 16S ribosomal RNA". It matches the Rfam family "Bacterial small subunit ribosomal RNA", at positions 15 to 229 of the family's 1533-position model. The record is from RNAcentral.